Molecule: small RNA, 106 nt
Filed under: Marmota monax (woodchuck)
Lineage: Eukaryota; Metazoa; Chordata; Mammalia; Rodentia; Sciuridae
Source: RNAcentral
GCUGGGUGCGGUGGCGCAGCCUUUAAUCCCAGCUAUGGGGGAGGCUGAGGCAGGAGGAUCGCAAGUUCAAGGCCAGUCUCAGCAAUUUAGUGAGAUCCUGUCUCAC